RNAcentral lists this ribosomal RNA (492 nucleotides) under uncultured bacterium. RNAcentral describes it as "partial 16S ribosomal RNA". It matches the Rfam family "Bacterial small subunit ribosomal RNA", at positions 28 to 507 of the family's 1533-position model. The record is from RNAcentral.
GGUGAACGCUGGCGGUAGGCCUAACACAUGCAAGUCGAACGGCAGCACAGUAAGAGCUUGCUCUUACGGGUGGCGAGUGGCGGACGGGUGAGGAAUACAUCGGAAUCUACUUUUUCGUGGGGGAUAACGUAGGGAAACUUACGCUAAUACCGCAUACGACCUACGGGUGAAAGCAGGGGAGCUUCGGACCUUGCGCGAUUGAAUGAGCCGAUGUCGGAUUAGCUAGUUGGCGGGGUAAAGGCCCACCAAGGCGACGAUCCGUAGCUGGUCUGAGAGGAUGAUCAGCCACACUGGAACUGAGACACGGUCCAGACUCCUACGGGAGGCAGCAGUGGGGAAUAUUGGGCAAUGGGCGCAAGCCUGAUCCAGCCAUACCGCGUGGGUGAAGAAGGCCUUCGGGUUGUAAAGCCCUUUUGUUGGGAAAGAAAAGCAGCAGGUUAAUACCCCGCUGUUCUGACGGUACCCAAAGAAUAAGCACCGGCUAACUUCGUG